RNAcentral lists this unclassified non-coding RNA (238 nucleotides) under uncultured fungus. Its description in RNAcentral is "partial contains 5.8S ribosomal RNA, internal transcribed spacer 2, and large subunit ribosomal RNA". The record is from RNAcentral. Lineage: Eukaryota; Fungi.
AACGCACAUUGCGCCCUUUGGCAUUCCGAAGGGCAUGCCCGUUCGAGCGUCAUUACACCACUCAAGCCUGGCUUGGUAUUGGGCGCCGGGAGUCUCCCGCGCCCCUAAUUCGUCGGCUGGACGGUUCGAAUCUCAGCGUUGUGGUUUCAUCAAAUCGCUGGCGAAGACGACCGGACGCGCCGUAAAACAUUCACUACAGGUUGACCUCGGAUCGGGUAGGGAUACCCGCUGAACUUAA